AUGGACUCAGGUGGCGAUCCAGAUGGACUCAGGCGGCGAGAUCUGGUGCGGGGAAUGAGGUUCUACGGCAGGCCGAUCCUGCAUGGGCGGGGUUCUCGGUGGGUUGGUGUGGGGGUGAUGGGACGGAAAAAACCGGUUGAAAAAAACCAGACAAAAAAAAAACCAGACGAAAGUGGGGGGACUAUUCAACCAACUCGUCCAUUAGAAGUAGAGAUUAGGAGUAGAGAUUACUCUCGAUCAAUAUAUAUAGCUCCCCCGCCUGUGAAAAUCCCUAUGCUGGAUUACUUCAAACCCCCGACCCGGUUUCACAUCGCCGAGGUCUUCGCCGUCAGUGAAUCUGGAAGCAAGGCGGUGCUCUCCGCUGCCAAGUUUCUUCUAGGGGUUUCAUCCUCUCUUGACGGUGAACCGCUGAGACGCUGCUCCGGCUUCUGGGUCGAUUGGGAUGAGGACAAGAAAACCGGCCUUGUUUUGACAACUGCGUGGCUGAUUCGCACAAAGGAUUCUCCUGACAGCGGCGAAGAGUAUGCUCCGCGUGCUGAUGUCACUGUUCAUUUGCUAAAUGGCACCAGUGCAAAGGGUGAUCUGGUCUACUACCAGCCCCAUUACGAUAUCGCUUUCUUGAAUAUUGAGGUGGAUCAACCUAUCAAGUUACCAUCUUUCUGUGAAGAAGGUGUAAAAUUUGCCGAAGACGUUUUUCGGCUCGGAAGAGAUAAUUCCUUGAAUCUAAGGAUAACAUAUGCUAGGGCAGAAUAUCAGAAUCCAAACAUGUAUCGGCGGUAUCACAAUGUACACUUCCGUUCUCCAGAUGGCCAUGGUGAUGAUAACGAGUAUGACAAUGGGGGCCUAGCCAUUGACUUGAAGGAAAAAGUUGUCGGAAUGGUCAACCUCCCUAAGAGAUUUUGGUCUUUCAUACCUUCUUCCAUUUUGUUCAAUUGUUUGGAUUCAUGGAAGAAAUAUCGCAGAAGGGGAUAA
Molecule: ribosomal RNA, 972 nt
Filed under: Triticum aestivum (bread wheat)
Lineage: Eukaryota; Viridiplantae; Streptophyta; Magnoliopsida; Poales; Poaceae
Description: partial small subunit ribosomal RNA
Source: RNAcentral